AUCCAGAGGGUGCGAGCGUUAAUCGGAAUUACUGGGCGUAAGGCGCGCGUAGGCGGCUUAUUAAGUCAGAUGUGAAAUCCCCGGGCUCAACCUGGGAACUGCAUCUGAUACUGGUAAGCUCGAGUUUUGGAGAGGGAAGUAGAAUUUCAGGUGUAGCGGUGAAAUGCAUAGAGAUCUGAAGGAAUACCAGUGGCGAAGGCGACUUCCUGGCCAAAAACUGACGCUGAGGUGCGAAAGCGUGGGUAGCAAACGGGAUUAGAAACCCGAGUAGUCC
This 274-nucleotide ribosomal RNA is filed under the name uncultured bacterium. Its description in RNAcentral is "partial 16S ribosomal RNA". It matches the Rfam family "Bacterial small subunit ribosomal RNA", at positions 523 to 796 of the family's 1533-position model. The record is from RNAcentral.